AAUCAACGCUGGCGGCGCGCCUAACACAUGCAAGUCGAACGAGAAAGUCCGCAAGGAUGAGUACAGUGGCGUACGGGUGAGUAACACGUGGAUCAUCUACCCUCUUGUGGGGAAUACCGUUUCGAAAGGGACGACAAUACCGCAUAAGCUCGAGAGAGGAAAGCAGAAAUGCGCAGGAGGAGGAGUCCGCGGCUGAUUAGCUAGUUGGUGAGGUAAUGGCUCACCAAGGCACAGAUCAGUAGCCGGCCUGAGAGGGCACACGGCCACACU
RNAcentral lists this ribosomal RNA (270 nucleotides) under uncultured bacterium. RNAcentral describes it as "partial 16S ribosomal RNA". It matches the Rfam family "Bacterial small subunit ribosomal RNA", at positions 32 to 314 of the family's 1533-position model. The record is from RNAcentral.